GGAAACGCGGUGAUCAAUCUUUCCGGGAAAAAGAUUUCAAAACAGCCAUCGACUGUUACUCACAGUUCAUAGACGUUGGAACAAUGGUGUCUCCAACUGUAUUUGGUAGGCGAAGUCUAUGUUACUUACUAUGCGAUCAACCAGACGCAGCACUACGUGACGCGAUGCAAGCGCAAUGCGUGUAUCCAGAUUGGCCAACGGCUUUCUACAUGCAGUCUGUGGCAUUAGCGAAACUGAACAUGAACACAGACGCAGCUGAUAUGUUGAACGAAGCAGCUCAGCUCGAAGAGAAGAGACAACGAGGCGGCAGAGGAUCUUGAUUCUUGAAACACAAAGUGUUUACCAUCUCGUUGUAAAAUUUUAACGAGCUUCAAGAAUUCUUUUUUAAGAAGACAGAGAAAGGGGAAAAAAACCUGUUAAAAACUUGUUGCUAUGAUUGUUGAUUGGGGAGAUGUAAUGUAACCAUAGGGGAGAGAAAAGAAAUUGAUGUUUGUUUG
Molecule: non-coding RNA, 497 nt
Organism: Camelina sativa (false flax)
Lineage: Eukaryota; Viridiplantae; Streptophyta; Magnoliopsida; Brassicales; Brassicaceae
Source: RefSeq, a predicted model, not a curated record